GAUGAACGCUAGCGGGAGGCCUAACACAUGCAAGUCGAGGGGCAGCACGUCUUCGGAUGGUGGCGACCGGCGCACGGGUGCGUAACGCGUAUGUAACUUGCCUAUAACUGGAGAAUAGCCCAAAGAAAUUUGGAUUAAUGCUCCAUAGUAUUAUUAAACUGCAUGGUUUGAUAAUUAAAGCUCCGGCGGUUAUAGAUAGACAUGCGUCCCAUUAGCUAGUUGGUGAGGUAACGGCUCACCAAGGCGACGAUGGGUAGGGGGCCUGAGAGGGUGAACCCCCACACUGGGACUGAGACACGGUCCAGACUCCUACGGGAGGCAGCAGUGGGGAAUUUUCCGCAAUGGGCGAAAGCCUGACGGAGCAAUACCGCGUGAGGGAAGAAUGCCUAUGGGUUGUAAACCUCUUUUUUCAGGGAGGAACAAAAUGACGUGUACCUGAAGAAUAAGCAUCGGCUAACUCCGUG
Molecule: ribosomal RNA, 464 nt
Filed under: uncultured bacterium
Lineage: Bacteria
Description: bacterial SSU rRNA
Rfam family: Bacterial small subunit ribosomal RNA
Source: RNAcentral